RNAcentral lists this long non-coding RNA (596 nucleotides) under Equus caballus (horse). RNAcentral describes it as "lncRNA (ENSECAG00000050830.1)". Lineage: Eukaryota; Metazoa; Chordata; Mammalia; Perissodactyla; Equidae. The record is from RNAcentral.
UUUUGAGGGGGGUGCGAGCCCGGGAGAGGACAAGAGUCCUUGCAGAUCCAUGGGAAAUGUGACCAGAUGGAAAGCAGGCCUCUGCCAGCGCUGUCCAAAAGAACUAUAAUGCGAGCCACACGUAUCAUUUAAAAUUUUCUGGAGCCACAUUAAAAGAAGAAAAUGAAACAGGUCCCACAGUGACCCCAGGAGCCGGGUUCUGUUACCUUCAUUCCCAUUGUGCAGGUGGGAAACAGCGCACCAAGGCCAAGGGCCAUCGAUCAUGCUGGAGAGUCAGAGCCGGCCAAGAGGUUGAGAAGAGCUGGUGAUGUGGGAUGACCGUGUCCCACUACAAAGACUAAGAGCCAUCACUUGCCAUCAGUUACUGAGUGCCAGCUAUAUUACAGAUGCGAAGGCCUGCAUCCAGCUAGACUCUAACAUGAGCCAUCCACGUGACCCUCGGCAAGCGUCUUUAACCCUUCCAAGCUUCGCUUCCUUCCUCCAAAAUGGAAAUCAUCCCUCCUACAGAUUUACGUUUGUGAUGUGUGUGUGUUUUAAGAAGUCUAAAGUAGGAUACCAAAGUGACGGAACUGGUCAUGGGAAUAUUAAAAGUUGGC